RNAcentral lists this transfer RNA (66 nucleotides) under Paroster macrosturtensis. RNAcentral's name for it is "tRNA-His". Lineage: Eukaryota; Metazoa; Arthropoda; Insecta; Coleoptera; Dytiscidae. The record is from RNAcentral.
AUUUAAGUAAUUUAAUAAAAAUUUUGAUUUGUGGUAUCAAAAAUGUAACAAUAAUUACCUUAAAUU